AUGUGGUUAAUUCGAAGCAACGCGAAGAACUUACCUGGUCUUGACAUCCCGGAGACCCUUAGGAAACUAGGGGUGCUUCCAUCUGGAAGAAUCUGGAGACAGGUGCUGCAUGGCUGUCGUCAGCUCGUGUCGUGAGAUGUUGGGUUAAGUCCCGCAACGAGCGCAACCCUUGCCUUUAGUUGCCAGCAGUUCGGCUGGGCACUCUAAAGGGACUGCCGGUGUUAAACCGGAGGAAGGUGGGGAUGACGUCAAGUCCUCAUGGCCUUUAUGACCAGGGCUACACACGUACUACAAUGGCCGAUACAAAGGGCAGCGACACUGCGAGGUGAAGCCAAUCCCGUAAAAUCGGUCUCAGUCCGGAUUGGAGUCUGCAACUCGACUCCAUGAAGUUGGAAUCGCUAGUAAUCGUGGAUCAGCAUGCCACGGUGAAUACGUUCCCGGGCCUU
RNAcentral lists this ribosomal RNA (446 nucleotides) under uncultured Desulfobulbus sp. RNAcentral's name for it is "bacterial SSU rRNA". It matches the Rfam family "Bacterial small subunit ribosomal RNA", at positions 939 to 1382 of the family's 1533-position model. The record is from RNAcentral. Lineage: Bacteria; Pseudomonadati; Thermodesulfobacteriota; Desulfobulbia; Desulfobulbales; Desulfobulbaceae.